AACGAACGCUGGCGGCAUGCCUAACACAUGCAAGUCGAACGAUGCCUUCGGGCAUAGUGGCGCACGGGUGCGUAACGCGCGGGAAUCUGCCUUUCGGUUCGGAAUAACUCAGGGAAACUUGAGCUAAUACCGGAUAACGUCGCGAGACCAAAGAUUUAUCACCGAAAGAUGAGCCCGCGUAGGAUUAGCUAGUUGGUGAGGUAAAGGCUCACCAAGGCGACGAUCCUUAGCUGGUCUGAGAGGAUGAUCAGCCACACUGGGACUGAGACACGGCCCAGACUCCUACGGGAGGCAGCAGUGGGGAAUAUUGGACAAUGGGCGAAAGCCUGAUCCAGCAAUGCCGCGUGAGUGAUGAAGGCCUUAGGGUUGUAAAGCUCUUUUACCCGGGAAGAUAAUGACGGUACCGGGAGAAUAAGCCCCGGCUAACUCCGUG
Molecule: ribosomal RNA, 433 nt
Filed under: uncultured bacterium
Lineage: Bacteria
Description: partial 16S ribosomal RNA
Rfam family: Bacterial small subunit ribosomal RNA
Source: RNAcentral